Molecule: ribosomal RNA, 274 nt
Filed under: uncultured bacterium
Lineage: Bacteria
Description: partial 16S ribosomal RNA
Rfam family: Bacterial small subunit ribosomal RNA
Source: RNAcentral
AUACGGAGGGUCCAAGCGUUAUCCGGAAUCAUUGGGUUUAAAGGGUGCGCAGGCGGUUUAUUAAGUCAGUGGUGAAAUCUCGGGGCUCAACCUCGAAACUGCCAUUGAUACUGAUAAACUUGAGUUCAGUUGGAGUAGGCGGAAUGUGUAGUGUAGCGGCGAAAUGCUUAGAUAUUACACAGAACACCGAUAGCGAAGGCAGCUUACUAAACUGAUACUGACGCUGAGGCACGAAAGCGUGGGGAGCGAACAGGAUUAGAAACCCGAGUAGUCC